This 309-nucleotide small nuclear RNA is filed under the name Amazona aestiva (blue-fronted amazon). RNAcentral's name for it is "7SK RNA". It matches the Rfam family "7SK RNA". From Rfam's summary of the family: 7SK was discovered as an abundant small nuclear RNA in the mid-70s but a possible function has only recently been suggested. Two independent studies have found that 7SK RNA binds the CDK9/cyclin T complex (known as elongation factor P-TEFb). Lineage: Eukaryota; Metazoa; Chordata; Aves; Psittaciformes; Psittacidae. The record is from Rfam by way of RNAcentral.
GGAUUUCAGGGCCGUCUGCCUGCCAUAUCUGUCACCCUGUUGAUUGCUGGGUUGAUUCAGCUGAUCUGGUGGGCUCCACAAGUGUCCCCUUCCUCCCUUGCCAUUCCACAUGCCUCCCUCCCCACACUGCAUGCUCGGGAAGGGACAACCUUCCCCGACACAGGCGGUCCCCUUCGUCAGUCACGGGUACACAGUAGUUGCACUCCCCAGCAUGAACCUCCAAACAAGGAACUGCAGCAGCUCCUCAAGGACUUCCUGGAGGAAGUCUUGGGCUUCUCUGGCCCAGUAGGGCACAGGAGGCCAGAGGAG